GACAUUACAAUUCCGUUGCAGCCGAGGAAGUCACGAAACGCUCAAUAAGAGUACAAACUUGGCGUAAAUUCCAAGAGCAGAAACUAUACACGGGCAGUUUUGUCUUCAAUCGCAUUCCGAAUUUCGUCGGAGUCGAAAAAGCAGUUGAAUUGCUCUCAGAAACGCCGGAAUAUAAAAAUGCGAAAAACAUAAAGGAAGCCGUUGAUCGAUCUCAAGAUGCGGUCAAAUUGAACGCGCUGUCCUCUUCAAAAAAUCUUUUCAUCUCAUGUGGCAGAGAUUCGAAAGCACUUUAUGCAAAAGUGAAUUGUCCGGAAACUGAAGAUGUGGCGACACAGAAGAAGGCGAUCUGAGUGCUUAAUUUGGCUGAAUAUGGAACAGAGAUCGAGUUUCAAAAUAAGGUGGAAUUGGAUAUGGCUGUCUACGGAUCAGUUGCAGUGUCGAAAUUGGGUGAACGAAUCGGAAGAGGAAAUGGCUAUGUUGAUUUGGAUUUCGCUACCCUGAAGCACUGUGGUUCCAUCACCGA
Molecule: long non-coding RNA, 523 nt
Organism: Bradysia coprophila
Lineage: Eukaryota; Metazoa; Arthropoda; Insecta; Diptera; Sciaridae
Source: RefSeq, a predicted model, not a curated record